This 464-nucleotide ribosomal RNA is filed under the name uncultured bacterium. Its description in RNAcentral is "partial 16S ribosomal RNA". It matches the Rfam family "Bacterial small subunit ribosomal RNA", at positions 28 to 506 of the family's 1533-position model. The record is from RNAcentral.
GACGAACGCUGGCGGCGUGCUUAACACAUGCAAGUCGAACGGAAAGGCCCCCUUGUGGGGUACUCGAGUGGCGAACGGGUGAGUAACACGUGAGUAACCUACCCUUGACUUUGGGAUAACUUCAGGAAACUGGGGCUAAUACCGGAUAGGAGCUCCUGCUGCAUGGUGGGGGUUGGAAAGUUUCGGCGGUUGGGGAUGGACUCGCGGCUUAUCAGCUUGUUGGUGGGGUAGUGGCUCACCAAGGCUUUGACGGGUAGCCGGCCUGAGAGGGUGACCGGCCACAUUGGGACUGGGAUACGGCCCAGACCCCUACGGGGGGCAGGAGGGGGGAAUAUUGCAAAAGGGGCGGAAGCCUGAUGCAGCAACGCCGCGUGCGGGAUGACGGCCUUCGGGUUGUAAACCGCUUUCGCCUGUGACGAAGGGUGAGUGACGGUAAGGGGUAAAGAAGCACCGGCUAACUACGU